GCUUAACACAUGCAAGUCGAGGGGCAGCAUGGUCUUAGCUUGCUAAGGCCGAUGGCGACCGGCGCACGGGUGAGUAACACGUAUCCAACCUGCCGUCUACUCUUGGACAGCCUUCUGAAAGGAAGAUUAAUACAAGAUGGCAUCAUGAGUCCGCAUGUUCACAUGAUUAAAGGUAUUCCGGUAGACGAUGGGGAUGCGUUCCAUUAGAUAGUAGGCGGGGUAACGGCCCACCUAGUCUUCGAUGGAUAGGGGUUCUGAGAGGAAGGUCCCCCACAUUGGAACUGAGACACGGUCCAAACUCCUACGGGAGGCAGCAGUGAGGAAUAUUGGUCAAUGGGCGAGAGCCUGAACCAGCCAAGUAGCGUGAAGGAUGACUGCCCUAUGGGUUGUAAACUUCUUUUAUAAAGGAAUAAAGUCGGGUAUGGAUACCCGUUUGCAUGUACUUUAUGAAUAAGGAUCGGCUAACUCCGUGCCAGCAGCCGCGGUAAUACGGAGGAUCCGAGCGUUAUCCGGAUUUAUUGGGUUUAAAGGGAGCGUAGAUGGAUGUUUAAGUCAGUUGUGAAAGUUUGCGGCUCAACCGUAAAAUUGCAGUUGAUACUGGAUAUCCUGAGUGCAGUUGAGGUAGGCGGAAUUCGUGGUGUAGCGGUGAAAUGCUUAGAUAUCACGAAGAACUCCGAUUGCGAAGGCAGCCUGCUAAGCUGCAACUGACAUUGAGGCUCGAAAGUGUGGGUAUCAAACAGGAUUAGAUACCCUGGUAGUCCACACGGUAAACGAUGAAUACUCGCUGUUUGCGAUAUACAGCAAGCGGCCAAGCGAAAGCGUUAAGUAUUCCACCUGGGGAGUACGCCGGCAACGGUGAAACUCAAAGGAAUUGACGGGGGCCCGCACAAGCGGAGGAACAUGUGGUUUAAUUCGAUGAUACGCGAGGAACCUUACCCGGGCUUAAAUUGCAGAUGAAUUACGGUGAAAGCCGUAAGCCGCAAGGCAUCUGUGAAGGUGCUGCAUGGUUGUCGUCAGCUCGUGCCGUGAGGUGUCGGCUUAAGUGCCAUAACGAGCGCAACCCUUGUUGUCAGUUACUAACAGGUUCCGCUGAGGACUCUGACAAGACUGCCAUCGUAAGAUGUGAGGAAGGUGGGGAUGACGUCAAAUCAGCACGGCCCUUACGUCCGGGGCUACACACGUGUUACAAUGGGGGGUACAGAGGGCCGCUACCACGCGAGUGGAUGCCAAUCCCCAAAACCUCUCUCAGUUCGGACUGGAGUCUGCAACCCGACUCCACGAAGCUGGAUUCGCUAGUAAUCGCGCAUCAGCCACGGCGCGGUGAAUACGUUCCCGGGCCUUGUACACACCGCCCGUCAAGCCAUGGGAGCCGGGGGUACCUGAAGUGCGUAACCGCGAGGAGCGCCCUAGGGUAAAACUGGUGACUGGGGCUAAGUCAU
RNAcentral lists this ribosomal RNA (1439 nucleotides) under uncultured organism. RNAcentral describes it as "SSU rRNA". It matches the Rfam family "Bacterial small subunit ribosomal RNA". The record is from RNAcentral.